This 207-nucleotide ribosomal RNA is filed under the name uncultured bacterium. RNAcentral's name for it is "partial 16S ribosomal RNA". It matches the Rfam family "Bacterial small subunit ribosomal RNA", at positions 568 to 774 of the family's 1533-position model. The record is from RNAcentral.
CUUGUAGGCGGUUUGUCGCGUCUGCCGUGAAAAUCCGGGGCUCAACUCCGGACUUGCGGUGGGUACGGGCAGACUAGAGUGUGGUAGGGGAGACUGGAAUUCCUGGUGUAGCGGUGAAAUGCGCAGAUAUCAGGAGGAACACCGAUGGCGAAGGCAGGUCUCUGGGCCGUUACUGACGCUGAGGAGCGAAAGCGUGGGGAGCAAACA